RNAcentral lists this ribosomal RNA (253 nucleotides) under uncultured bacterium. Its description in RNAcentral is "partial 16S ribosomal RNA". It matches the Rfam family "Bacterial small subunit ribosomal RNA", at positions 524 to 776 of the family's 1533-position model. The record is from RNAcentral.
UACGGGGGGGGCAAGCGUUGUUCGGAAUUACUGGGCGUAAAGGGUUCGUAGGUGGCCUGCUAAGUCAGACGUGAAAUCCCUCAGCUUAACUGGGGAACUGCGUCUGAGACUGGCGGGCUUGAGUGCAGGAGAGGAACGCGGAAUUCCAGGUGUAGCGGUGAAAUGCGUAGAUAUCUGGAGGAACACCGGUGGCGAAGGCGGCGUUCUGGACUGUUCCUGACACUGAGGCACGAAGGCCAGGGGAGCAAACGGG